AAAUCUCAGUCUUGUUGAAAUUUAGAAGUCCAAUGCCUUGAAAUUCAUUUUUUCCUGUCCGCUUCUCUGUGAUUUUUAUUAUAUCAUACCAAUCAGUAUCUACAUUUGACAUGUACCGAGCAUCUGAGCCACCCCAUAUCCACCUGUUCACAAAAUUGUGAAGACUUCAAUAUUAUACCAUUAUGCUAAGAAGAUAACAGUGAAACGUACCGUGAGCCAGAGCCUGAUAAAUGGUUGGUAUUGUAAACUUCUGGUGAGUAGAGGAACAUUACAAAAGUGGCGGAAAUGGUUAUCAAUAGGAUAAGUUUUAAGAAAGAAAACUUGCAUUUUGAGCUUCUAUCUUGGAUAGAUAAGUGGAAAGGCUUCUCUACAUCUUUUACUUUACUUUUUGGCACUCUUCUCUUGUAUAAAUCUUCGCUGUACCUCGUAGUUAAUGAGACAAAUUUAAUACACACAAGCUAGAGAAAAAAUCACCAAAUUGUACCUUGUAAUUAGUGAGACAAAAAUGCAUGUCACUUGUCUUUAAUAUUGUAAUUUAUGUCCUUAAAUUAAAUGUUGGAGUUUGACGUUGAAAUCAACCUGAAUUCCAACGUCAUGUUACAAGUAUAUAAUCAUUCAUAAGCUCAAAA
Cicer arietinum (chickpea) is the source of this 629-nucleotide long non-coding RNA. RefSeq lists it as uncharacterized. The record is from RefSeq and is a predicted model, not a curated record. NCBI's taxonomy places the organism in Eukaryota, Viridiplantae, Streptophyta, Magnoliopsida, Fabales, Fabaceae.